UUAAUCUCUCCUGAACGCGCCACGUCAGAUUCCAGCGUGGAAAUAGGAGGCAUCUCGCGCAGACACAUCAGAUACGCACCGUAUCACUUAAGUUUUGUUCUGUCGGAACAGGCUUCACUUGGGCUUCGUCACGCUUAUCUAAUCUUCUUCGACUUGAGGCCCAUCGACACAAUCUUCGGGAAUCCUAAACAGAUGCGUUUCCUUCCUGAUCUUCGUUCGUUCUUCUUCAUACAGAUCUAGAAAUCCGUCGGUUACCGAUUCAUUCCUAUUAAUUCCUUCAUCAAUCCAUCGUACACGAUCUAUCUUCAAUGCCAUCUUUUCUCUUCGAAGGCGGUGGUGGUUUGACUAUAAAAAGGUUAGCAUCCCUACACUCUUAAUCAUCCUAUCACUCUAUUGAACAAAUCAAUCUACUUAUUUACUGAGAAAUGGCUUGCUCUCGAGAUCAUCUAUCCAUCUCGAUACGUUUUGAGAUCGAAGAGAUGGGUAAAGUGGCUGUUGGUGCGACGGUUGUCUGCGCAGCGGCGGUUUGCGCGGCGGCGGUGUAUAUAGUGAGGCGGCAGAUGGAAAGCUCGGGGGAAAUGGGAGCGUGUGAUAGAGAUCCUGAGGGUGAUGGAGGAGGAUUGCGGGAGGUGGGAAUCUGAGACAAGUGGCUGACGCAAUGACUGUUGAGAUGCACGCGGGCGUCGCUUCUGAAGGUGGAAGCAAGAUUAAAUGCUCAUCAGCUAUGUUGAUAAUCUUCCUUCUGGACGAUGGUGCCAGCUUUUCUCCAAGGUUUUGCCGUUUUUUUUUCGGGUUCAACCUUAAACCAACUCAAACGUCAGAAAUAUUAAACGUGGUGGCGACCUCAUUGGAGUAAAUAUGCUUCUUCUGGAAUCUAAGUUUUAAAUUGUCUUUGGAGGCUAAGAUUGUGGAUCCGGAUACGGGUCGUGACUUGGGGGUUGAUUGAACUGGCGAACUCUGGUUCCAGAGUCCUACCGUGAUAAAGGUUAUUCCAAGAACGAGGAAGCUACUGCUUUUACUAUUGAUUCAAAAGGAUGGCUGAAGACUGGAGUUUUGUGUUACACUGACAGUGAACGUUUUGUCUUUAUUGUUGAUAGAUUAAAGGAGCUAAUCUAAUGCAAUGCUUAUCAGGUUGCUCCAGGUGAACUAGAAGCAGUGUUGCUAGCUCAUCCAGAGAUUGCUGAUGCAUCAGUAAUGCCGUGAGGACUUAUCGAAAGUGAGCUCAUGAGCUUGGGGAUGUAGCUCUUACUUUUCUAUUAUUGUUUUUGUAGUAUCCCUGACAAUAAAGCUGGGCAAUAUCCAAUGGCAUAAA
Long non-coding RNA from Raphanus sativus (radish), 1312 nucleotides. RefSeq lists it as uncharacterized. NCBI's taxonomy places the organism in Eukaryota, Viridiplantae, Streptophyta, Magnoliopsida, Brassicales, Brassicaceae. The transcript has 5 exons. The record is from RefSeq and is a predicted model, not a curated record.